Molecule: long non-coding RNA, 601 nt
Filed under: Homo sapiens (human)
Lineage: Eukaryota; Metazoa; Chordata; Mammalia; Primates; Hominidae
Description: HSALNT0297924
Source: RNAcentral
CAAGGACAGGCAGUCUGAACAGAGUUGUCAUCAUUGUCUAAUUAUUCUUGGUGAUGGGGUCUCGCUCUAUUGCCCAGGCUGAAGGGCAGUGGCACGAUCUCGGCUCAUUGCAACCUCUGCCUCCUGGACUCAAGCGAUUCUCUUGCUUCAGCCUCCUGAGUAACUGGGAUUACAGGCACACACCAUCACACCCGGCUAAUUUGUGUAUUUUUAGUAGAGAUGGGGUUUCUCCAUGUUGGCCAGGCUGAUCUCAAACUCCUGACCUCCAGUGAUCUGCCUGCCUUGGCAUCCCAAAGUGCUGGGAUUACAGGCACGAGCCACAAAUCUUUUAUUCUUAUAAGGACACCAGUCACAGUGGAUUAGAACCCAGUCAUAUGACCCAAUUUAAACUUAAUUACCUCUUUAAAGGACCUAUCUCCAAACACAGUCACAUCAACAUAUGCGAGGUAGGACAUCAACAUAUGAUUUUUGGGGGAAGAGAAUUCAGCCCAUUAUAGUCACCAGGCAAACAGAGGCAGUAUAGACCAAGGGUUAAAUGUACUAUGUGUAGAGACAGACUAGAUUUGGAACUCUGACACUGCCACUUAAAAUCAUGUGGGCC